AUUUUUAGAGCCAAUAGACUGCAAGAACAAAAAUACAGACCCAAUAGAUCCUAGAUUUUUAAGAGCUAAAAAUCCUGCAAAGUUGAGGGACCAAAGAGAUUUCUAAGAGCUGAAAGUCCUGAAAAUCAAAACGACUGGAAACUCUAUGAAAAUACUGCUUCAUGGAGUUAUUGUUCCUUCUCUCCUUUGGUUUCUGUAGCCUUUAACCUCUGAAAUACCUUCUGAAUAUCCUAUGGAUUUAGGUUAGUGCUAGUUUGUAUGUUCUAAAAGGAGUUUAGGUUUGAAGUUUGUGGAAGUUAGUGUUUCUUUGGUUUCUUCUUGUGACCUCUUCAACUCUAAUUCCUGGACUAGCUUUCUAAACUAUCUGGGUUGAGAUGAAUGGAAUCUGUUGUUGAAUUUUGUUGUUGAGCAUCAGUUUUGUUGGUCUAAAGCUAUUUCCUGGGUUUAGUUCUACUGUUGGGCCCUGCUAUUUUGCUGCUGACUUUCUUCCCUUAUUCUUUUCCAUUUCCAGGUAUUUCUCAACCUCUGAAUGAGUGAAUGUUUUGGUUGAGCAAGUAAGCUGAAACACUGGUGGAAUACAGGCUUUUGGGAGUUUAAAUUAUCUUGUGAUUUUCCUGUUACUUUAGUAUUCUUGUAAUAGAUAUGUAAUUUUCAUGCUGUUCAUCUAUAUGUUUAGAGUGGUGUAGGUAGUUGAAUAUGAAUGUCUCAUUAUCAUGUUAUAGUUAGAUCAUGGGUUUUUAUUGCUAUAUGAGCAGAGUUUUUUCUUCUUUUUGUGUUAAUGGAGCCUAUAUGUUAA
This 796-nucleotide long non-coding RNA is filed under the name Nicotiana benthamiana. Its description in RNAcentral is "long non-coding RNA (NBEN_LNC042629)". Lineage: Eukaryota; Viridiplantae; Streptophyta; Magnoliopsida; Solanales; Solanaceae. The record is from RNAcentral.